UUUGACAUACUACUGUUACUUGAGAGAGAUCGAGAGGACCUUAGCUUGCUAAGGAGGUAGAACAGGUGCUGCAUGGCUGUCGUCAGCUCGUGUCGUGAGAUGUUGGGUCAAGUCCCGCAACGAGCGCAACCCCUAUAGCCAGUUGCUAACGAGUCGAGUCGAGCACUCCGGCGAGACUGCCGCCGACAAGGCGGAGGAAGGUGGGGACGACGUCAAGUCAUCAUGGCCUAUAUGCCCAGGGCGACACACGUGCUACAAUGGCCGGCACAAAAGGCAGCUUGCCAGCGAUGGUUGGCGGAUCCAGAAAAGCCGGUCCCAGUUCGGAUUGCAGACUGCAACUCGUCUGCAUGAAGCCGGAAUCGCUAGUAAUCGCAGAUCAGCCAAGCUGCGGUGAAUACGUUCCCGGGCCUUGUACACACCGCCCGUCACACCACCCGAGUUGGGGGCACCCGAAGCCGCGAGCUUAACCGCAAGGGAAGAAGCGUCGAAGGUGCGCCUGGUAAGGGGGGUGAAGUCGUAACAAGGUAGCCGUACCGGAAGGUGCGGCUGGAUCACCUCCUUU
Molecule: non-coding RNA, 562 nt
Filed under: Synergistes jonesii
Lineage: Bacteria; Thermotogati; Synergistota; Synergistia; Synergistales; Synergistaceae
Description: Bacterial small subunit ribosomal RNA
Rfam family: Bacterial small subunit ribosomal RNA
Source: Rfam by way of RNAcentral